AUCUACUGCUUUGUCUAUGAGGUG
Molecule: non-coding RNA, 24 nt
Filed under: Cricetulus griseus (Chinese hamster)
Lineage: Eukaryota; Metazoa; Chordata; Mammalia; Rodentia; Cricetidae
Source: RNAcentral